GGAUGCGAUCAUACCAGCACUAAAGCACCGGAUCCCAUCAGAACUCCGAAGUUAAGCGUGCUUGGGCGAGAGUAGUACUAGGAUCGGUGACCUCCUGGGAAGUCCUCGUGUUGCAUUCC
This 119-nucleotide ribosomal RNA is filed under the name Setaria viridis. RNAcentral also lists the same sequence under 3 other names. Lineage: Eukaryota; Viridiplantae; Streptophyta; Magnoliopsida; Poales; Poaceae. The record is from RNAcentral.